This 408-nucleotide ribosomal RNA is filed under the name uncultured bacterium. RNAcentral's name for it is "partial 16S ribosomal RNA". It matches the Rfam family "Bacterial small subunit ribosomal RNA", at positions 28 to 526 of the family's 1533-position model. The record is from RNAcentral.
GACGAACGCUGGCGGCGUGCUUAACACAUGCAAGUCGAACGAAGUGGCGAACGGGUGAGUAACGCGUAAUCAACCUGCCCUUCAGAGGGGGACAACAGUUGGAAACGACUGCUAUUACCGCAUACGGAAGGAGGGGAUUGCGUCUGAUGAGCUAGUUGGAGGGGUAACGGCCCACCAAGGCGAUGAUAAGUAGGCGGGCUGAGAGGAUGAACGGGCAAAUUGGGACUGAGACACGGCCCAGACUCCUACGGGAGGCAGGAGUGGGGAAUCGUCCGCAAAGGAGGAAAGUCUGACGGAGGAACGGCGCGUGAGUGAUGAAGGCCUUCGGGUUGGAAAGCUCUGUUAAUCGGGACGCGGUACCGGAAUAGAAAGCCACGGCUAACUACGUGCCAGCAGCCGCGGUAAUUC